This 470-nucleotide ribosomal RNA is filed under the name uncultured bacterium. Its description in RNAcentral is "bacterial SSU rRNA". It matches the Rfam family "Bacterial small subunit ribosomal RNA", at positions 34 to 518 of the family's 1533-position model. The record is from RNAcentral.
CGCUGGCGGCGUGCCUAACACAUGCAAGUCGAACGGAGUCAAGAAGCUUGCUUUUGACUUAGUGGCGGACGGGUGAGUAACGCGUGAGUAACCUGCCUCUGAGAGGGGAAUAACGUUCUGAAAAGAACGCUAAUACCGCAUAAUGUAUCGAAGCCGCAUGACUUUGAUACCAAAGAUUUUAUCGCUUGGAGAUGGACUCGCGUCCGAUUAGUUAGUUGGUGAGGUAACGGCUCACCAAGACCGCGAUCGGUAGCCGGACUGAGAGGUUGAUCGGCCACAUUGGGACUGAGACACGGCCCAGACUCCUACGGGAGGCAGCAGUGGGGGAUAUUGCGCAAUGGGGGCAACCCUGAACCGCAGCAACGCCGCGUGAAGGAUGAAGGUUUUCGGAUUGUAAACUUCUUUUAUCAGGGACGAAGCUUGACGGUACCUGAUGAAUAAGCUCCGGCUAACUACGUGCCAGCAGCUGC